Molecule: ribosomal RNA, 253 nt
Filed under: uncultured bacterium
Lineage: Bacteria
Description: partial 16S ribosomal RNA
Rfam family: Bacterial small subunit ribosomal RNA
Source: RNAcentral
UACGUAGGGUGCAGGCGUUAAUCGGAAUUACUGGGCGUAAAGCGUGCGCAGGCGGUUUCUUAAGUCAGAUGUGAAAGCCCCGGGCUUAACCUGGGAACUGCGUGUGAUACUGGAUGGCUUGGAUGUGGGAGAGGGAUGCGGAAUUCCAGGUGUAGCGGUGAAAUGCGUAGAUAUCUGGAGGAACACCGGUGGCGAAGGCGGCAUCCUGGACCAUUAUUGACGCUGAGGAGCGAAAGCCAGGGGAGCAAACGGG